Molecule: ribosomal RNA, 654 nt
Filed under: uncultured bacterium
Lineage: Bacteria
Description: bacterial SSU rRNA
Rfam family: Bacterial small subunit ribosomal RNA
Source: RNAcentral
CCGGAUAACAACACUAGACGCAUGUCUAGAGUUUGAAAGAUGGUUCUGCUAUCACUCUUGGAUGGACCUGCGGUGCAUUAGCUAGUUGGUAAGGUAACGGCUUACCAAGGCAAUGAUGCAUAGCCGAGUUGAGAGACUGAUCGGCCACAUUGGGACUGAGACACGGCCCAAACUCCUACGGGAGGCAGCAGUAGGGAAUCUUCCACAAUGGACGAAAGUCUGAUGGAGCAACGCCGCGUGAGUGAAGAAGGGUUUCGGCUCGUAAAGCUCUGUUGGUAGUGAAGAAAGAUAGAGGUAGUAACUGGCCUUUAUUUGACGGUAAUUACUUAGAAAGUCACGGCUAACUACGUGCCAGCAGCCGCGGUAAUACGUAGGUGGCAAGCGUUGUCCGGAUUUAUUGGGCGUAAAGCGAGUGCAGGCGGUUCAAUAAGUCUGAUGUGAAAGCCUUCGGCUCAACCGGAGAAUUGCAUCAGAAACUGUUGAACUUGAGUGCAGAAGAGGAGAGUGGAACUCCAUGUGUAGCGGUGGAAUGCGUAGAUAUAUGGAAGAACACCAGUGGCGAAGGCGGCUCUCUGGUCUGCAACUGACGCUGAGGCUCGAAAGCAUGGGUAGCGAACAGGAUUAGAUACCCUGGUAGUCCAUGCCGUAAACGAU